Molecule: microRNA precursor, 109 nt
Filed under: Theobroma cacao (cacao)
Lineage: Eukaryota; Viridiplantae; Streptophyta; Magnoliopsida; Malvales; Malvaceae
Description: mir-172 microRNA precursor family
Rfam family: mir-172 microRNA precursor family
About the family: mir-172 has been experimentally verified in Arabidopsis thaliana. This family is thought to target mRNAs coding for APETALA2-like transcription factors. The mature sequence is excised from the 3' arm of the hairpin.
Source: Rfam by way of RNAcentral
UUGUUUGCAAAUGUGGCAUCAUCAAGAUUCACAUGCAACGUACAUAUAUAUUUAUAUAUAUUAUAUGGUUUUGGCCUGAGAAUCCUGAUGAUGCUGCAUUGGCAAUGAA